This 581-nucleotide ribosomal RNA is filed under the name Escherichia coli. RNAcentral's name for it is "bacterial LSU rRNA". It matches the Rfam family "Bacterial large subunit ribosomal RNA", at positions 1 to 612 of the family's 2925-position model. The record is from RNAcentral. Lineage: Bacteria; Pseudomonadati; Pseudomonadota; Gammaproteobacteria; Enterobacterales; Enterobacteriaceae.
GGGUUGUGAGGUUAAGCGACUAAGCGUACACGGUGGAUGCCCUGGCAGUCAGAGGCGAUGAAGGACGUGCUAAUCUGCGAUAAGCGUCGGUAAGGUGAUAUGAACCGUUAUAACCGGCGAUUUCCGAAUGGGGAAACCCAGUGUGUUUCGACACACUAUCAUUAACUGAAUCCAUAGGUUAAUGAGGCGAACCGGGGGAACUGAAACAUCUAAGUACCCCGAGGAAAAGAAAUCAACCGAGAUUCCCCCAGUAGCGGCGAGCGAACGGGGAGGAGCCCAGAGUCUGAAUCAGUGUGUGUGUUAGUGGAAGCGUCUGGAAAGGCGCGCGAUACAGGGUGACAGCCCCGUACACAAAAAUGCACAUAUUGUGAGCUCGAUGAGUAGGGCGGGACACGUGGUAUCCUGUCUGAAUAUGGGGGGACCAUCCUCCAAGGCUAAAUACUCCUGACUGACCGAUAGUGAACCAGUACCGUGAGGGAAAGGCGAAAAGAACCCCGGCGAGGGGAGUGAAAAAGAACCUGAAACCGUGUACGUACAAGCAGUGGGAGCACGCUUAGGCGUGUGACUGCGUACCUUUUGUA